GGGUAGCGAACGGAUAGAUACCCCGGUUGUCCNCGCUGUAANCGNGGAUACUAGUGUUGNGGCAAUCGUUAUCAGUGCCGUAGCUAACGCUUAAAGUAUCCCGCCUGGGGACUACGGCCGCAAGGCUAAAACUCAAGGGAAUUGACGGGGGCCCGCACAAGCAGCGGAGCGUGUGGUUUAAUUCGAGGCAACACGAAGAACCUUACCUGGGUUUGACAUGUACGUAGUAGUGAAGCGAAAGCGGAUCGAUCCUUCGGGAAGCGUACACAGGUGCUGCAUGGCUGUCGUCAGCUCGUGCCGUGAGGUGUUCGGUUAAGUCCGGUAACGAGCGCAACCCUUGCCGUUAGUUACAAGUGUCUAGCGGGACUGCCGGUUUAAUGCCGGAGGAAGGUGGGGAUGACGUCAAGUCAGCAUGGCCUUUAUGUCCAGGGCUACACACACGCUACAAUGGCCGGUACAAUGGGUUGCCAAGCCGCGAGGCGGAGCUAAUCCCCCAAAGCCGGUCUCAGUUCGGAUUGUAGGCUGCAACUCGCCUGCAUGAAGUCGGAGUUGCUAGUAACCGCGCGUCAGCCACAGUGCGGUGAAUGCGUUCCCGGGCCUUGUACACACCGCCCGUCACGUCCAUGGGAGCUGGUAACACCUGAAGCCGGUGGGCUAACCGUAAGGGGGCAGCUGUCGAAGGUGGGACUGGUGACUGGGACGAAGUCGUAACAAGGUAACCGUA
RNAcentral lists this ribosomal RNA (724 nucleotides) under uncultured bacterium. RNAcentral describes it as "bacterial SSU rRNA". It matches the Rfam family "Bacterial small subunit ribosomal RNA", at positions 763 to 1504 of the family's 1533-position model. The record is from RNAcentral.